This is a long non-coding RNA of Sorex araneus (European shrew), 868 nucleotides long. RefSeq lists it as uncharacterized. The record is from RefSeq and is a predicted model, not a curated record. NCBI's taxonomy places the organism in Eukaryota, Metazoa, Chordata, Mammalia, Eulipotyphla, Soricidae. The transcript is spliced from 2 exons.
GAUGCUCCCACUUUAUCAGCAGCCUUCAACGGCCUAACUGUGCAGUUCUCCGAUUUUCUGCUUUUGCUGCGUUUUGAUUUAUCAGAUGACAAACCCUAUUUGGAUACAUAAUUCGCUGUCUAUCUGAUUUAAAAGCUCACUAAUCCUCUGCAAAGAGGAUUUCUUCACUUCUGGGGCUCUGAUUUGGUAAGAAGGAUAAGAUCCUGAGCAGCCACGCAUGACACGGCCCCUCUCCUCCUUAAAGACUAAGAUCCGGGAGGUUCUACUAACCCAUUUUGGCACCCAGAGACUUACAGAAAUGCAUCUAGACUGUGAGCUGAGCUAUGACUCCAUGCCACCCGGGAAGGGGGAAGGAUUUUCUCUCCCAACGCUUUGUUUCUACGGGGAAGAUAGCAGCAGCAACAACAGCAGCGCCCAUGUGGUGUCCGCCAUUUUUUAGGACUCACAACCCAGAGAUACUCACUUUGUAGUGACGUGGCAUGCAAGAGAUCAUGGGAUGGGGGUGUUACCGGCACACCCUCCGCCCUGAUGAGAUCCAGAGCAGCCAUGCACAACACGGGCCCCUCUGCUCAUUAAAGACUAUGACCCAGGAGGUUCUACUAACCCAUUUUGGCACCCAGAGACUUACAGAAGUGCAUCUAGACUGUAAACUGAGCUAAAAUAUCAGAAAUCCAAAACUGCAUGGCCACAACAGCAACUGCGUGAGCUCCUAUAAUCUUCAUUCUCAGCCAUGGAAAACAAACUAUCAAAUGAUGCCUUUUCAGCAGGUUUGAUUGUUGGAGGAAAAUUCCAAAUAAUAAUAGUCAGUUCUCUGUUGAAAUAUUGAAUGUAUCCAAAGUAUAGAGAGAAUAAAGUGAAGAUCAUUUGC